Molecule: ribosomal RNA, 491 nt
Filed under: uncultured bacterium
Lineage: Bacteria
Description: bacterial SSU rRNA
Rfam family: Bacterial small subunit ribosomal RNA
Source: RNAcentral
GACGAACGCUGGCGGCGUGCCUAAUACAUGCAAGUCGAACGCACUCUCGUUAGAUUGAAGAAGCUUGCUUCUGAUUGAUAACAUUUGAGUGAGUGGCGGACGGGUGAGUAACACGUGGGUAACCUGCCCUAAAGUGGGGGAUAACAUUUGGAAACAGAUGCUAAUACCGCAUAAAACCUAGCACCGCAUGGUGCAAGGUUGAAAGAUGGUUUCGGCUAUCACUUUAGGAUGGACCCGCGGUGCAUUAGUUAGUUGGUGAGGUAAAGGCUCACCAAGACCGUGAUGCAUAGCCGACCUGAGAGGGUAAUCGGCCACACUGGGACUGAGACACGGCCCAGACUCCUACGGGAGGCAGCAGUAGGGAAUCUUCCACAAUGGACGAAAGUCUGAUGGAGCAACGCCGCGUGAGUGAAGAAGGUUUUCGGAUCGUAAAACUCUGUUGUUGGAGAAGAACGUAUUUGAUAGUAACUGAUCAGGUAGUGACGGUAUCC